UUUUAAGUAAAAUUGGUGGAAUUUUAUGAUGUUGAAUAUGUUAUUCUCGAUGUUACAGAUGUUAUUCUCCCAUGUUGCAUCUGACUGAAAAUAUGAAGUACUAUACAACAUUCAAGAACAAUACAUUGAAACAUAGUAAAUAGGAUCUGUAACAUUAGGAGAAUCUACCAUAUUUCCUCCCCUGAAAUGACGAAAUAUUUUGAAAUAUCGAAGAAUAGUGUUUGCAACAUCAAAAAUUCGAUAGAUUUUCUUCUAAAAAUCUGUCAACAGAUAAAUAGCAAAACUCUUAAUUUAAAGGACCCUAACUAACAUGGUGAUCAAAC
This 323-nucleotide long non-coding RNA is filed under the name Setaria viridis. RNAcentral describes it as "long non-coding RNA (SVIR_LNC005761)". The record is from RNAcentral. Lineage: Eukaryota; Viridiplantae; Streptophyta; Magnoliopsida; Poales; Poaceae.